UUGAUUGUAUGUUAAAAUAUGUUCAUCUCACCAUUUUGGCUGUAAUGAUAUUUCCUAAUGUAACACAAAUAUUUCAAUUGCAGUGCGAGAGAGACACAAAAAUACUUCCUGAAUAGAGAGGUGCCAAUUUUCGCGAGUGCACUCAGCGAGACAGGUCCACAUCCUGUGGACCUUUAUCCCACAUCCACCUUGAAUCUAUGGGCACCAGUAUUCCACGGGUAAAAUGUGGCAUCUGUCGGUGUAAAAUGGAUUUUGGAUUCUCCACCCACACUGAAGCAGAGAGGAUGUGGAUGAAUCUGUCAUGAGGGAUUUUUGCCACAUUCUCUAGUGCGCACGUGAAAGGGAAUUACUGACAAAGGAUGUUAAUCCUGAACACACAAUGACAAUGACUGCCCGUGCUGUAAUCUACCCGAAUGGCUGGAGAUCUUUGUGCGUGUGCAGACCAGACAAUCUAUUCUGCACAGCAGGCUGGAAGCUGUACGUCCAGGAUGUACUGCUGAGGGCUUGGUGGAAGUCAGUGCAAGAGAAAGAAAAAAACAUGUCCUGAAUCCAGAGGCGCCAAUUUUCGUGAGUGCACUCAGCGAGACAGAUGGACAUCCAGUGGACCUUUAUCCAGUGUCAAACUUAAAUCCAUGGGCACCAGUUUUCCACGGGUAAAUGGUGGCCUCUGUCAGUGUAAAAUGGAAUUUGGAUUCUCCACCCACACUGAAGCAGAGAGGAUGUGGAUGAAUCUCUGUCAUGAGGGAUUUUUGCCACAUUCUCUAGUGCGCAUGUGAAAGGAAAGUACUGACGAAGGAUGUUCAUCCUGAACACAUAAGUGAAAUGGAGCGCAGCUGGGAGGAUUUCCGUCAUCUUGAAAGGCACUGGUGUCCUUGGAGUCAGCUGCCUGCAUCUACAAUUGAAAUGAAAUGUGAGAAGAAGUCCACGGUCCUAUUUCAUAAGAUAAACAGAAGUAUAAUAGCUUUCAGAAUACGACAUAAUUAAAAUACAAAAAAAGAAGGGACGCAAGGUAAAGUGAAGGAAGACUAGCACAAUUUCGUACACACAGAUCAUUUACUAAAAAAUGCAAUUGUACUAUCCAUUAAUUUUUUCCAUUUCUAUUAUUGUUAUAAUAAAACUGGUGAGAUAAGUGCCACUACUUCAGGCUGCCAGUUGUGUAAG
Long non-coding RNA from Schistocerca serialis cubense, 1161 nucleotides. RefSeq lists it as uncharacterized. NCBI's taxonomy places the organism in Eukaryota, Metazoa, Arthropoda, Insecta, Orthoptera, Acrididae. The record is from RefSeq and is a predicted model, not a curated record. The transcript is spliced from 9 exons.